ACAUGGGGUGCCCGGCGGGCCGGGCUGAGAACACACCCAUCGAACCUGAUCUGGAUCAUGCUGGCGAAGGGAUUGUCAU
Molecule: non-coding RNA, 79 nt
Filed under: Brevibacterium luteolum
Lineage: Bacteria; Bacillati; Actinomycetota; Actinomycetes; Micrococcales; Brevibacteriaceae
Description: TPP riboswitch (THI element)
Rfam family: TPP riboswitch aptamer (THI element)
About the family: Vitamin B(1) in its active form thiamin pyrophosphate (TPP) is an essential coenzyme that is synthesised by coupling of pyrimidine and thiazole moieties in bacteria. The previously detected thiamin-regulatory element, thi box was extended, resulting in a new, highly conserved RNA secondary structure, the THI element, which is widely distributed in eubacteria and also occurs in some archaea. Analysis of operon structures identified a large number of new candidate thiamin-regulated genes, mostly transporters, in various prokaryotic organisms.
Source: RNAcentral